RNAcentral lists this small RNA (121 nucleotides) under Streptomyces longwoodensis. RNAcentral describes it as "Streptomyces-metK RNA". It matches the Rfam family "Streptomyces-metK RNA". The record is from Rfam by way of RNAcentral. Lineage: Bacteria; Bacillati; Actinomycetota; Actinomycetes; Kitasatosporales; Streptomycetaceae.
GCGAGACGGUGGGGCCUCGGCCGGGCUCGACCGAUAAACUGUCCCCGGACGACGCCGGGCGCAGCCCCCGUCGCGUCGCGUCCACCAAUGAUCAGCCAGCAGCCGCUGCAACCCCAGGGAG